GUGGGCGUAGCUCAGCUGGUAGAGCGUUGGAUUGUGGUUCCAAAUGUCGAGGGUUCAAGCCCCUUCGCCCACCCCA
RNAcentral lists this transfer RNA (76 nucleotides) under Nitrospinota bacterium. Its description in RNAcentral is "tRNA-His". It matches the Rfam family "tRNA". Rfam says of the family: Transfer RNA (tRNA) molecules are approximately 80 nucleotides in length. Their secondary structure includes four short double-helical elements and three loops (D, anti-codon, and T loops). Lineage: Bacteria; Pseudomonadati; Nitrospinota. The record is from RNAcentral.